CCUACGGGAGGCAGCAGUGGGGAAUAUUGGACAAUGGGGGGAACCCUGAUCCAGCCAUGCCGCGUGUGUGAAGAAGGCCCUCGGGUUGUAAAGCACUUUCAGUGAGGAAGAACGCCUGGUGGUUAAUACCCAUCAGGAAAGACAUCACUCACAGAAGAAGCUCCGGCUAACUCCGUGCCAGCAGCCGCGGUAAUACGGAGGGUGCGAGCGUUAAUCGGAAUUACUGGGCGUAAAGCGCGCGUAGGUGGCUUGAUAAGCCGGUUGUGAAAGCCCCGGGCUCAACCUGGGAACGGCAUCCGGAACUGUCAAGCUAGAGUGCAGGAGAGGAAGGUAGAAUUCCCGGUGUAGCGGUGAAAUGCGUAGAGAUCGGGAGGAAUACCAGUGGCGAAGGCGGCCUUCUGGACUGACACUGACACUGAGGUGCGAAAGCGUGGGUAGCAAACAGGAUUAGAUACCCUAGUAGUC
RNAcentral lists this ribosomal RNA (465 nucleotides) under Vreelandella stevensii. RNAcentral describes it as "partial 16S ribosomal RNA". It matches the Rfam family "Bacterial small subunit ribosomal RNA", at positions 338 to 795 of the family's 1533-position model. Lineage: Bacteria; Pseudomonadati; Pseudomonadota; Gammaproteobacteria; Oceanospirillales; Halomonadaceae. The record is from RNAcentral.